RNAcentral lists this long non-coding RNA (1357 nucleotides) under Ursus maritimus (polar bear). Its description in RNAcentral is "lncRNA (ENSUMAG00000010753.1)". Lineage: Eukaryota; Metazoa; Chordata; Mammalia; Carnivora; Ursidae. The record is from RNAcentral.
AUGCCAGCCAUUCAGUCACGGUUGACAACCAAGGCCUGGCAAGUCGCCAGGCAAAUGUGGCUCCAGGCACCUCUGUCCUCCUCACCCUGGUCUUGUCACGAUUCGUCAGCAGUCCGGGGAGGCAGAGAAGCUGAGACACACGGUGGGGGGGAGGUGGCAGAGAAUGCGGUGCAGUCCAGGAGGCAAGGCCCCACCUGCUCACACCCUCGGGGCCCGGAUGUGCCCCCACCUGCUCUGCACUACCCUGAGACCAAGAGAGGCCUGCCUGACCAGGACUUUGAGGCUCCCAGCAAAUCAAGGUGAUUCCCUGCUGGACGCUCCCACUUUCCAGAUCUGAGGAAGCAAGGCCCAGAGAGGAGAGACAGCGAGAGAACACAAGCAGGGGGAGAGGGAGAAGCAGGCUUCCCGCUGAGCAGGGAGCCUGAUGCGGGGCUCCAUCCCAGGACCCCGGGAUCAUUACCUGAGCUGAAGGCAGAAGCUUAACGACUGAACCACCCGGGUGCCCCAAUAAUAAUUAUUAAAAUAGUUAUAGUGACAGCUCUCCUUCCCUCGGUACCCACUAAGUGGCCACAGUCCUCUACAAGCCCCCCACCUUGACCCAGAGGUAAACAGAAGCUCCGAGACCCAAAGUCACUCACUUGAAGCCCCCCCCCCAAAAAAAGCUUCCACUGGCUGAACAUCUCAGGCAUCCUCAUGGAAGCUGGGUCACUGUCCUAGUCAGGAAGGGGAAACUGAGGCGUGUUCAAAAACCAGGACAACCCUGCCGGAGCCACACAGCCCGGCAUCAGCUGAACAGGGAGAAAACUGAACCCCAGGGGAAGCCACGAGCUGAGGUCCCCAGGCAGGAAUGUUGGCCCAGCGCCCGGCAAGGCUGGGGGUCAGCGGUGGUCCCCUGGAGAAAAUACAAAACCCAACCUGGGGAGACCCGGGGCCUGUUCCUGCCAGAUCCUUCCAAUCAGUGCGCUAACAAUCUCCACACAAACAGCAGUAACAGUAACAGCCAGAGCGCAGAGAGCGUCCUCCACUUCUCCAUCCUGAGUCCGCCCUAUCCUGGGAGGUGGGCGUAGUGGGGUGGGGACAGGGGUCCAGGGACGCCUCGCUGUGUCCAUCGCUGCGACGGGGCAGUGCCGGGAGCGACUUCCUUCCCGGCCGGGCUGGAGCCGGCCUUGGAAAUGCAGACCACUACUAUUACCGACGGGGGAGGGCAACGGGGUUAUUGAGACCCGGCGCUCCAGGAUCUCCCGGCACCUUGAGGGUAAACGCGGUGGACACCUGACCCCAGGGACCUGCCGGGGCUUCCCUAGAACCCCGAUCCUCCCGUCCCCACCAAAGGCGUCCGCUAGAUCCUCAGGGGCCC